GCCGGUGUAGCUCAGCCAGGCAGAGCGGCGCCCUUGUAAGGCGAAGGCCGCCGGUUCGAUUCCGGCCACCGGCUCCA
Molecule: transfer RNA, 77 nt
Filed under: Micromonospora sp. C51
Lineage: Bacteria; Bacillati; Actinomycetota; Actinomycetes; Micromonosporales; Micromonosporaceae
Description: tRNA-Thr
Rfam family: tRNA
About the family: Transfer RNA (tRNA) molecules are approximately 80 nucleotides in length. Their secondary structure includes four short double-helical elements and three loops (D, anti-codon, and T loops).
Source: RNAcentral